GCUCCGGUGGCUUAGUGGUUAGAGCGUCCGCCAUAGAUGCGGGAGAUGGUGGGUUCAAUCCCCGGUCGAGUCA
Molecule: non-coding RNA, 73 nt
Organism: Potamilus streckersoni
Lineage: Eukaryota; Metazoa; Mollusca; Bivalvia; Unionida; Unionidae
Source: the annotation of a GenBank genome assembly